GUAUAUAUUUUUACAGGCAUGUAAUCAUUGCCUAAAUGUCACAUUCCAAUACUUUAUACGGAGUAUAAUAAGACAUAGGAUCUGAAAUAUAAAGAGCAGCCGGCUUCGCGCACAGCAAUUCUUUGAACCGAGGUUUUCUCGAAAGUUAUUCAGAUCUACACAAGAUGCACAGGUGGUUGUAAAGUUGGAAUAGGCGUGCACUUGUCAAGAAAGACCAGCAACGGCCUAAACCAAGUUUAUUCAAUAAUGAUCCUUCCGCAGGUUCACCUACGGAAA
This 276-nucleotide unclassified non-coding RNA is filed under the name uncultured fungus. RNAcentral's name for it is "sequence contains ITS1". The record is from RNAcentral. Lineage: Eukaryota; Fungi.